UCAAGUCUUGGUCAAAAAUUAAUUUAGAUUGAUGGAAUUUGUUUUAGGAGGGAAAAUAAGUCUUGGGCCCUUUUUAAUUUUCAAGACUUGAGUUUUUCUCAUACUUCUCCUUAAAACAUGGGUCCUUAAAUCAUGGAGAAGUGGUUGAGAAGUGAUAUAAAGUCUUUUGGUGGUUGGGGUCUUUCAAGACUAACAAGUACAUACACCUUUUUCCUUCACCUUUUAGGAUCUAAUAUUCACUUUAUGUUCUAACAAUAUAUGAAGGAAGGUGAAGAACUUAAAGAACAACAACAACCACACCAAGAACAAUAACAACAAUCUUCAAGAACAACAACAAUUCCAACGGCCAACUCCA
RNAcentral lists this long non-coding RNA (355 nucleotides) under Capsicum annuum. RNAcentral describes it as "long non-coding RNA (CANN_LNC017860)". The record is from RNAcentral. Lineage: Eukaryota; Viridiplantae; Streptophyta; Magnoliopsida; Solanales; Solanaceae.